Long non-coding RNA from Salvia splendens (bonfire salvia), 1964 nucleotides. RefSeq lists it as uncharacterized. The transcript has 6 exons. NCBI's taxonomy places the organism in Eukaryota, Viridiplantae, Streptophyta, Magnoliopsida, Lamiales, Lamiaceae. The record is from RefSeq and is a predicted model, not a curated record.
GCUCACUCAUCUUGGUUUCCAUCUCCCUCAACGAUCACUCUCCGAAUCUCCAGUUUUCAUUUUCCCUUUGUUGAAAUUUUGUAGAGACUUUUAAUUUGGAGGCUUUGAAAUGGGGAUUGACGUUGAUUUAGCAGCUAGUAAUGGAAUAUGACUUUUGCGAAUGGCACGGGUUCCCUUGCUAGCUAUAUCCUUGGCAUAGGCGGCAUUGGAAAUAUUAUAUCAGAUGAAGGUGCUGGAAAAGAGGAUGCCCCAAGAAACUGGGGGUCUACUUUUCAAAAAAAUAUUUUUACUGCUGAUGGAAACUGCUCUGAUAGAGACAUCACCCUGCGGCUAUGUCAAACCCCGAAUUGUUGAUAUUCUCGAUGAUUUUCAGAAAAUAAAGAAGCAUAAUUGGUGUCUGUACUUACUUGACAAUCAGAUGAGGACACACGAAGCUGAGGGAGAAAAACAAGUCCAAAGUUUUCCUAGUGUGCACCGUAGGAGAAGUGUGCCAUGUGCCAUUCCUAGGAUAAAGGGGUGGACGGCGGAACUGAUGAAAGAGCGAGAGGAAAAUAAAUUGAAAGAGGAUGAUUUCGGUCUUGGUCGUGUGUCUCCACAAUAUGAUCAGAAUGAGCUAGGAAGCGCAGAAAUGUCAACAUGAGUGGCUCGUUUACCAUCUACAGAAAAUGUUGUUGAAGAAGGAGAGCCUUCGGAUGAGGUAUAUAUGAGGGGUGUUUGGGGGGCAACCAAACACAUAGGUGACAUUUUUAAGAUGCUGUCGGAACUGAGCCAAGCUCCUCUGGAAAUCAGGAAUAAGGACAACUUUCGAAUAACGUGCGACACUCUUAGGAGGGCUUUAAGACUGGACGGGAAAGACUUCAAUCAUGUGGAGUCAAUGACACAGUCGCAGUCUGCCCACUAUAGUGCAGCGGAAUAGUGGUCAGAGUCAUUGAAAUCUUUGUUAUGCGCGACUGAUGAAAUGGAUAUACUAGAAAACAAAGAUGAAUACCCAAGCUUUAGCCUUGGUUUUGAUUUAAGCCAGGAUGAUGACGCUAGUUACCGUGAUUCAGAAUGUCAACAGGAAACAAUCAAACCAACCAAUGUUGAAGAGCAUGAUGUGUCGGAGUUGAGCUAAGGGAGCAAGCCGACCUAUGUUUUAGUGGUGAUGGGCAUGUAUCCCAGGACGGGGACCGAGAGACCGUUGCUGAUUUGGGAGGAGAUGGUCUUGAUUUUGGUACUGGUAGUGACACCGGAAGAGAUGGGGGAUGCCAAGAGCAUGUGGCUGCUGUGGAAGUAGGAACAGUUGUCAAUGAGGACAAUGCACUCGACGUGGCUAGGUCUAUAGCGCGUUAGGGUGUUGACAUUCGUCAUUAAUUAUUGACAUUGUAGAAUUUCCUGUUUAUCUGAUGCAGCACGACGCAGCAGAUGUAACCAUUUGUUCUACCGUGGAAGCAUUCAUUGAACUCGGUGAUGCUGCUUUUGAAACGCAAAUAGUUAUGGAAGACGUUGAUGUGGAAAUUACUUGUACGUGGAGAUGCAGAGAUGAAUUGUGAAGGGAGCAUGUUUGCUGACAUACAACCUGCUCCAGCAAGGAAACUCAGAUUGCCUACAGUCAGAAGAGAGGGAUCAUCAUCAAUGCGUACCAGCCUAACAUGGACUGGACUAGAGAAGAGAGGGAUUGUUACCAAUUCCUAAUUGCAACACCAUUCUUGGGCGUCGUAUCUGAAUGGCAUGGAAUUUGUUAAAUCAACAGAGAAGCCCAACAGAUUGUUUGUCACAACAUCUCCCACCAUAAGUGUACUGUUAAUAUGAUGUAAUUUGUUUUAUUUUUUUUUCUAAUGGCAUUGUGUAACGAUUUCAGUCAUUCAAUGUGGUUGAACGGAGAACUAGUUGGGUAGAUUCUGAAGCUGCGGCUUCAUUGUGAGGAGAUAGAUAGUCAAUUCAACCGCACUGGAAUUUUGACUUCAAAAAAUAUGAUUUGGUAA